CACCGCGGUUAUACGAGAGACCCUAGUUGAUAGCUACGGCGUAAAGAGUGGUCUAGGACCCACAGCAAAUUAAAGCCAAAGACCUCCCAAGCUGUCGCACGCACCCGGAGGCACGAAGCCCAAACACGAAGGUAGCUUUAUCACAUCUCCUAACCCCACGAAAGCUAAGAAA
RNAcentral lists this ribosomal RNA (172 nucleotides) under Chalceus erythrurus (Tucan fish). RNAcentral describes it as "partial 12S rRNA". The record is from RNAcentral. Lineage: Eukaryota; Metazoa; Chordata; Actinopteri; Characiformes; Chalceidae.